This 2497-nucleotide ribosomal RNA is filed under the name human gut metagenome. Its description in RNAcentral is "bacterial LSU rRNA". It matches the Rfam family "Bacterial large subunit ribosomal RNA", at positions 1 to 2524 of the family's 2925-position model. The record is from RNAcentral.
UUAAGCGACUAAGCGUACACGGUGGAUGCCCUGGCAGUCAGAGGCGAUGAAGGACGUGCUAAUCUGCGAUAAGCGUCGGUAAGGUGAUAUGAACCGUUAUAACCGGCGAUUUCCGAAUGGGGAAACCCAGUGUGAUUCGUCACACUAUCAUUAACUGAAUCCAUAGGUUAAUGAGGCGAACCGGGGGAACUGAAACAUCUAAGUACCCCGAGGAAAAGAAAUCAACCGAGAUUCCCCCAGUAGCGGCGAGCGAACGGGGAGCAGCCCAGAGCCUGAAUCAGUGUGUGUGUUAGUGGAAGCGUCUGGAAAGGCGCGCGAUACAGGGUGACAGCCCCGUACACAAAAAUGCACAUGCUGUGAGCUCGAUGAGUAGGGCGGGACACGUGGUAUCCUGUCUGAAUAUGGGGGGACCAUCCUCCAAGGCUAAAUACUCCUGACUGACCGAUAGUGAACCAGUACCGUGAGGGAAAGGCGAAAAGAACCCCGGCGAGGGGAGUGAAAAAGAACCUGAAACCGUGUACGUACAAGCAGUGGGAGCCUCUUUAUGGGGUGACUGCGUACCUUUUGUAUAAUGGGUCAGCGACUUAUAUUCUGUAGCAAGGUUAACCGAAUAGGGGAGCCGAAGGGAAACCGAGUCUUAACUGGGCGUUAAGUUGCAGGGUAUAGACCCGAAACCCGGUGAUCUAGCCAUGGGCAGGUUGAAGGUUGGGUAACACUAACUGGAGGACCGAACCGACUAAUGUUGAAAAAUUAGCGGAUGACUUGUGGCUGGGGGUGAAAGGCCAAUCAAACCGGGAGAUAGCUGGUUCUCCCCGAAAGCUAUUUAGGUAGCGCCUCGUGAAUUCAUCUCCGGGGGUAGAGCACUGUUUCGGCAAGGGGGUCAUCCCGACUUACCAACCCGAUGCAAACUGCGAAUACCGGAGAAUGUUAUCACGGGAGACACACGGCGGGUGCUAACGUCCGUCGUGAAGAGGGAAACAACCCAGACCGCCAGCUAAGGUCCCAAAGUCAUGGUUAAGUGGGAAACGAUGUGGGAAGGCCCAGACAGCCAGGAUGUUGGCUUAGAAGCAGCCAUCAUUUAAAGAAAGCGUAAUAGCUCACUGGUCGAGUCGGCCUGCGCGGAAGAUGUAACGGGGCUAAACCAUGCACCGAAGCUGCGGCAGCGACGCUUAUGCGUUGUUGGGUAGGGGAGCGUUCUGUAAGCCUGCGAAGGUGUACUGUGAGGUAUGCUGGAGGUAUCAGAAGUGCGAAUGCUGACAUAAGUAACGAUAAAGCGGGUGAAAAGCCCGCUCGCCGGAAGACCAAGGGUUCCUGUCCAACGUUAAUCGGGGCAGGGUGAGUCGACCCCUAAGGCGAGGCCGAAAGGCGUAGUCGAUGGGAAACAGGUUAAUAUUCCUGUACUUGGUGUUACUGCGAAGGGGGGACGGAGAAGGCUAUGUUGGCCGGGCGACGGUUGUCCCGGUUUAAGCGUGUAGGCUGGUUUUCCAGGCAAAUCCGGAAAAUCAAGGCUGAGGCGUGAUGACGAGGCACUACGGUGCUGAAGCAACAAAUGCCCUGCUUCCAGGAAAAGCCUCUAAGCAUCAGGUAACAUCAAAUCGUACCCCAAACCGACACAGGUGGUCAGGUAGAGAAUACCAAGGCGCUUGAGAGAACUCGGGUGAAGGAACUAGGCAAAAUGGUGCCGUAACUUCGGGAGAAGGCACGCUGAUACGUAGGUGAAGUCCCUUGCGGAUGGAGCUGAAAUCAGUCGAAGAUACCAGCUGGCUGCAACUGUUUAUUAAAAACACAGCACUGUGCAAACACGAAAGUGGACGUAUACGGUGUGACGCCUGCCCGGUGCCGGAAGGUUAAUUGAUGGGGUUAGCGGUAACGCGAAGCUCUUGAUCGAAGCCCCGGUAAACGGCGGCCGUAACUAUAACGGUCCUAAGGUAGCGAAAUUCCUUGUCGGGUAAGUUCCGACCUGCACGAAUGGCGUAAUGAUGGCCAGGCUGUCUCCACCCGAGACUCAGUGAAAUUGAACUCGCUGUGAAGAUGCAGUGUACCCGCGGCAAGACGGAAAGACCCCGUGAACCUUUACUAUAGCUUGACACUGAACAUUGAGCCUUGAUGUGUAGGAUAGGUGGGAGGCUUUGAAGUGUGGACGCCAGUCUGCAUGGAGCCGACCUUGAAAUACCACCCUUUAAUGUUUGAUGUUCUAACGUUGGCCCCUAAUCGGGGUUGCGGACAGUGUCUGGUGGGUAGUUUGACUGGGGCGGUCUCCUCCUAAAGAGUAACGGAGGAGCACGAAGGUUGGCUAAUCCUGGUCGGACAUCAGGAGGUUAGUGCAAUGGCAUAAGCCAGCUUGACUGCGAGCGUGACGGCGCGAGCAGGUGCGAAAGCAGGUCAUAGUGAUCCGGUGGUUCUGAAUGGAAGGGCCAUCGCUCAACGGAUAAAAGGUACUCCGGGGAUAACAGGCUGAUACCGCCCAAGAGUUCAUAUCGACGGCGGUGUUUGGCAC